GUUUGAUCCUGGCUCAGGAUGAACGCUGGCGGUCUGCUUAACACAUGCAAGUCGAACGGAGUGCUUCGGCACUUAGUGGCGGACGGGUGAGUAACGCGUGAGAAUCUGCCCUUAGGACGGGGACAACAGCUGGAAACGGCUGCUAAUACCCGAUGUGCCGAGAGGUGAAACAUUUUAUGGCCUGAGGAUGAGCUCGCGUCUGAUUAGCUAGUUGGUGGGGUAAGGGCCUACCAAGGCGACGAUCAGUAGCUGGUCUGAGAGGAUGAUCAGCCACACUGGGACUGAGACACGGCCCAGACUCCUACGGGAGGCAGCAGUGGGGAAUUUUCCGCAAUGGGCGCAAGCCUGACGGAGCAAGACCGCGUGCGGGAGGACGGCCUAUUGGUUGUAAACCGCUUUUGAUAGGGAAGAAGCACUGACGGUACCUAUCGAAUCUGCAUCGGCUAACUCCGUGCCAGCAGCCGCGGUAAUACGGAGGAUGCAAGCGUUAUCCGGAAUUAUUGGGCGUAAAGCGUCCGUAGGUGGUUGUUCAAGUCUGCUGUUAAAGCGUGCGGCUUAACCGCAUACCAGCAGUGGAAACUGGGCGACUAGAGUGCGGUAGGGGUCAGGGGAAUUCCCAGUGUAGCGGUGAAAUGCGUAGAUAUUGGGAAGAACACCGGUGGCGAAAGCGCCUGACUGGACCUGCACUGACACUGAGGGACGAAAGCUAGGGGAGCGAAAGGGAUUAGAUACCCCAGUAGUCCUAGCCGUAAACGAUGGAUACUAGGCGUUGAGAGUAUCGACCCUCUCAGUGCCGUAGCUAACGCGUUAAGUAUCCCGCCUGGGGAGUACGCACGCAAGUGUGAAACUCAAAGGAAUUGACGGGGGCCCGCACAAGCGGUGGAGUAUGUGGUUUAAUUCGAUGCAACGCGAGAACCUUACCAGGGCUUGACAUGUCUGGGACUUCG
RNAcentral lists this ribosomal RNA (947 nucleotides) under uncultured bacterium. RNAcentral describes it as "bacterial SSU rRNA". It matches the Rfam family "Bacterial small subunit ribosomal RNA", at positions 11 to 1000 of the family's 1533-position model. The record is from RNAcentral.